RNAcentral lists this transfer RNA (85 nucleotides) under Methanobrevibacter woesei. Its description in RNAcentral is "tRNA-Ser". It matches the Rfam family "tRNA". Rfam says of the family: Transfer RNA (tRNA) molecules are approximately 80 nucleotides in length. Their secondary structure includes four short double-helical elements and three loops (D, anti-codon, and T loops). The record is from RNAcentral. Lineage: Archaea; Methanobacteriati; Methanobacteriota; Methanobacteria; Methanobacteriales; Methanobacteriaceae.
GUCGGGAUGGCCCAGCCUGGUACGGCGUCGGACUGCUAAUCCGAUGAUCUUACGAUCACGCGGGUUCAAAUCCCGUUCCCGGCGC